RNAcentral lists this ribosomal RNA (780 nucleotides) under Lacticaseibacillus paracasei. RNAcentral describes it as "bacterial SSU rRNA". It matches the Rfam family "Bacterial small subunit ribosomal RNA", at positions 57 to 802 of the family's 1533-position model. The record is from RNAcentral. Lineage: Bacteria; Bacillati; Bacillota; Bacilli; Lactobacillales; Lactobacillaceae.
GCAGUCGAACGAGUUCUCGUUGAUGAUCGGUGCUUGCACCGAGAUUCAACAUGGAACGAGUGGCGGACGGGUGAGUAACACGUGGGUAACCUGCCCUUAAGUGGGGGAUAACAUUUGGAAACAGAUGCUAAUACCGCAUAGAUCCAAGAACCGCAUGGUUCUUGGCUGAAAGAUGGCGUAAGCUAUCGCUUUUGGAUGGACCCGCGGCGUAUUAGCUAGUUGGUGAGGUAAUGGCUCACCAAGGCGAUGAUACGUAGCCGAACUGAGAGGUUGAUCGGCCACAUUGGGACUGAGACACGGCCCAAACUCCUACGGGAGGCAGCAGUAGGGAAUCUUCCACAAUGGACGCAAGUCUGAUGGAGCAACGCCGCGUGAGUGAAGAAGGCUUUCGGGUCGUAAAACUCUGUUGUUGGAGAAGAAUGGUCGGCAGAGUAACUGUUGUCGGCGUGACGGUAUCCAACCAGAAAGCCACGGCUAACUACGUGCCAGCAGCCGCGGUAAUACGUAGGUGGCAAGCGUUAUCCGGAUUUAUUGGGCGUAAAGCGAGCGCAGGCGGUUUUUUAAGUCUGAUGUGAAAGCCCUCGGCUUAACCGAGGAAGCGCAUCGGAAACUGGGAAACUUGAGUGCAGAAGAGGACAGUGGAACUCCAUGUGUAGCGGUGAAAUGCGUAGAUAUAUGGAAGAACACCAGUGGCGAAGGCGGCUGUCUGGUCUGUAACUGACGCUGAGGCUCGAAAGCAUGGGUAGCGAACAGGAUUAGAUACCCUGGUAGUCCAUGCCG